Collybiopsis luxurians FD-317 M1 is the source of this 105-nucleotide non-coding RNA. Lineage: Eukaryota; Fungi; Basidiomycota; Agaricomycetes; Agaricales; Omphalotaceae. The record is from the annotation of a GenBank genome assembly.
GGCCUGAUGGUCUAGUAGUAUGAUUCUCCCUUCGGGUUUAACAAAAUCCGCUUGCAUAAGCAAGUCGAUUGGGAGAGGUCCCGGGUUCAAUUCCCGGUCAGGCCC